ACGGAGGGUGCAAGCGUUAUCCGGAUUUAUUGGGUUUAAAGGGUCCGUAGGCGGGCCGAUAAGUCAGUGGUGAAAUCUCGCAGCUUAACUGUGAAACUGCCAUUGAUACUGUCGGUCUUGAGUAAAUUUGAAGUGGCUGGAAUAAGUAGUGUAGCGGUGAAAUGCAUAGAUAUUACUUAGAACACCAAUUGCGAAGGCAGGUCACUAAGAUUUAACUGACGCUGAUGGACGAAAGCGUGGGUAGCGAACAG
This 251-nucleotide ribosomal RNA is filed under the name uncultured prokaryote. RNAcentral's name for it is "partial 16S ribosomal RNA". It matches the Rfam family "Bacterial small subunit ribosomal RNA", at positions 525 to 775 of the family's 1533-position model. The record is from RNAcentral.